UCUCCUGGAGGAAGGCUUUGAAUCCUGCCAUCAUCUUUGCUGCAUCUCCCCCAGCAAGACAAUGAGGUGGGGCUGUGCCGAAGGAUACAUUGUGAGCUAAGGGAAGCUCAGGUGACCCGAGAUGCAGGCUUUUCGGUUUUGUGCGGUUGGUGGCUGUAGAGUAGUUGUAGAAGUGCGUUUUCUAUUGUAAAGCCCCCAACUUUGCAAAAGGGCUCCACGUGCAAGUGCAGGAGUGUGCACUUCUGCAGUAGUAGUUCUCCUAGUACCUGAACAGGAAAGCGCUUGGCUCUGGGG
Long non-coding RNA from Lagopus muta (rock ptarmigan), 294 nucleotides. RefSeq lists it as uncharacterized. NCBI's taxonomy places the organism in Eukaryota, Metazoa, Chordata, Aves, Galliformes, Phasianidae. The record is from RefSeq and is a predicted model, not a curated record. The transcript is spliced from 3 exons.